AAAGGCUGCGGUAUUUUGACCGUACAAAGGUAGCAUAAUCAUUAGUUUUUUAAUUGAAAACUCGUAUGAAUGGUUUAACGAAAUAUUGACUGUUUCAUAAAAAUUUAAAUAGAAAUUAAUUUUUUAGUUAAAAAGCUAAAAUAAAAUUAAAAGACGAGAAGACCCUAUAGAGUUUUAUACUAAAUAUUUUAUAAUUUAUUUAUAAUAAUUAAAAUUUUAUUAUUUUUUGUAUUUUGUUGGGGUGACAAUAAAAUUUUAAAACCUUUUAUUUUUUAUUAAACAAUGAUUUUUGAAUAAUUGAUCCAUUAUUAGUGAUUAUAAGAUUAAAUUACCUUAGGGAUAACAGCG
RNAcentral lists this ribosomal RNA (348 nucleotides) under Tarnania sp. ER-73. RNAcentral's name for it is "partial 16S ribosomal RNA". Lineage: Eukaryota; Metazoa; Arthropoda; Insecta; Diptera; Mycetophilidae. The record is from RNAcentral.